GCCGGGAAGAGGAAGAAAGAGAUAACUCAAAAGCAAUAGGAAUGGGAACAUGGAGGAAAGCCUCCUUGUUUGUUUGCGCCUCUAGUGUUGACGGUGAAAAUAUUUGGCAUGAAUCCUUUCCUGAUGCCUCCCAUUCCUAUCGUUUUUGUGCACUCCUUCCUCUUCCUUUUGGCU
This 174-nucleotide microRNA precursor is filed under the name Triticum aestivum (bread wheat). RNAcentral describes it as "MIR2118 microRNA precursor family". It matches the Rfam family "MIR2118 microRNA precursor family". The record is from Rfam by way of RNAcentral. Lineage: Eukaryota; Viridiplantae; Streptophyta; Magnoliopsida; Poales; Poaceae. RNAcentral also lists the same sequence under 1 other name.